Molecule: non-coding RNA, 4540 nt
Organism: Ictidomys tridecemlineatus (thirteen-lined ground squirrel)
Lineage: Eukaryota; Metazoa; Chordata; Mammalia; Rodentia; Sciuridae
Source: RefSeq, a predicted model, not a curated record
GGCUCAAGGUCAAACCGGGCUCGCCAGCCUCUCCCCGGCUUCCCAAGCCCGCUCAGGUUCCAUGCAGUCAAAUCCGAACUUCUGCACACAUCGGGGCGCCCGGCUGGGAAGGCCAGGAGGCGGGCCCGACUGCGGCAGGACCGGCCGCUCCGCCGCCACGCUCUCCUCCGCUCCUCGGAACCCGAGGGCGACGAGAUGCUGAGGAGGAAAGGCCUGCGGACUUGACUGCGGCCGGGGCGACACCUCAGGCUUAUACUAGAAAGAAAGAUAAUGUGCUUGAUCACCAGGUUGAUUCUACUUACCAGCUGUAAAAACAUCUGCAUACAGGUGACCUCAGGAAGGCUAUCCUUGACCUCAUCUGACCUCUGACAUUACCUUGCCAGAUUUCCUCCAUAGCACCUGUCGUCAACUGGACUUCUGCUGCCAUUAUUGGGAUUUUAUCUCUUUGCCUAUUACCUGUCUUCAUCACCGGGAUAUAAGCUUUGUGAGAGCAGAAACUUUGGCUCCUGAUAUUUCUAGCACCUAGAAUAGUCAUGGCACAUGGUAGUGUUCAAUAAAAUUUUUUUUUUUAAUAAGUGAGUGAAUGAAUAGAUAUCUGUGAGCAAAGACGGGGGAGAACAUGUUAUGAACAAUUACAGAUUAUUAAUGGGCAAAUCGAUCAUAGUCAUGGGACCCUGAGGAAAUUACUUCAUUCUUAUUUGUGAACUGUAGAUGAUACAAACUACCUUUCAGGGUUAUCAUUAGGAUUAUAGAGGAACUAUAUAUAUAGGAACUGUCACACAUAUACACAAAUAGACAAAAAGAUAGUUCAUUAACAAUACAUGGUAGUUGCUAUUAAUCUAAAUAUUGUGUCUUGAGAAGUCUAUUUUUUUCAACACUUCAUUACUCAGCACAGGUAACACUGUUUUGUUUUUAAAGAGUAUAUUUGCAAACUGUCAAAUAUUUGUGGCAUCUUGCACACAGUUUCAGGCAGUGUCCAUUGUGGGGACUGUACGUAUUUCACCCACAUAUUUCACCCAGUACAAUGUAAUAUUCUGCAGGGAAUAUUUGCUAUAGUUUUGCUGUUCCUUUUCUCCUUACCAUGAUAAAAGAAAAUCCUUUCCAGAGGGAAACCCAGCCAUGGGGACAUGGGGGUAUGGUGGUGGUUUGGCUGUGAACAGCUAUGGUCAUCGCAGGACCUUCACAGACGGUGCAUCUGUAACACGAAAUCAACAUUGUGCUGGCAUUGCCGCUUUCUGCAAUGUUUCAUUCCAUUACAAGCAAUGCAAUUCAUUUGGUUCCAUUGCCAAAUUAAGGGACUGGAUUUUUACCUGCUAAUAAAACUCUCCAGGGCUCUGCCAGUAAUUGGAGCCAUGUCCAUUGGCAUCAGAGCUGGUGUCGACAGCCAGUAUGAAUAAUCAUUCCGAGAUGCAAAAUUACAUAUUUCGUCGACAUUACAGAAUAAGAAUGGCAUGGUGGUAAAUCGCUGCAGGCAGCUCCCAAGAGUCCCUAAUACAAUAUGGAACUGAGUAUCAGUUAAGAUUAUUCUAUUAAAUUAAGAUUAUUCUAUUAAAACAGAGAGGCAGCCUGAUCAAAGACAACACAAGCUAGUUAUUUGUAAAAUGUCAUAUUGAUAAGUUUUAGUCAAGAUGGAAAUAAAAACCCAGCAGGCAAACAAAUCCUUCUAUUCCCAUCCUUAAUACUUCCUAUGGUCCCUUCUAAUCAGUCUAGAACUUGUGGGCUGGUGUAGUUUGGUUAAAGCAAUGUCUUUGCUUCAAAUUGUUUUAGUUACUCAGAACAACUAAUAGUCACAUAAAAUUUUCUUAGAAAAGAUCAUUUGGGGAUUAAAAAGAAGACAGAUAUAACCAAUUAGAACAAAUUAAAAAAUAAUAAGAAGAAGAAUAAGAAGAAGACAGGUGUUUUAAGUGAAAAUGAUUUUCAUUGAACCUGACAAGCUUGACUCCUUCUAGCAUUUUACAUACCAGAAUGCAACUUAGACUUCAGGCCAGUUGCUCUCUUUAAAAUGUACUGGAAGACACCUGAGGUUGUUUUUACUUAUCUUCAGAGGAAGCACCCCAAACUAAAAAGUUUGCAAUCUGCAUAUGGAGCAAAACAACUGGAAACUCUGACCAGAACAUUACCAAGGUCUUGUCCAUGGGCUUGCUCAUUUCCUUGUACAAAGAGAAGAGAAAACCCACUGUAGAGUGGCUCUGUCCCUUCUGGACAUGCAGGGAUCACUGUUGCUUGACUGUGACGGGUGAAGACAAAGCCCCUCUUUCUUGUCUCCAUUGCUGGCAAGCCAAUAUCUCCAGGUUUUCCCUUCAAACCUGGUAACCCAUCUGAUCCAGGCGGUCCUUUAAAAACCACAUUAUAAAUGUUGUAACACAAACAGAAUCUCAGACUUGUUUUCUGAAGUACUAAUUUAAAUGCUUUUGUGUCUCUGUUAAGCUUCAAAUAUAGAAAGGAAUCCUAGUUAUAAAAUGACCAAGCAAUAUCAUUAAAUGUUAACUAGUUAGUCACAAAGUCCUCUUAUUGAUAUUUGUGUGUGUUAUCAGGUCUUCUUUAUCUCUGAAUUCCCUUGUGAUGCCUAGCACACAAUGGCCUGUAUGUGAAAGGUAUAUGCACAUCUUUUAUGAACAAAUAUGUAUGGGUCCUCCUACAAUGUGAGGGAAAAGAAAGAAAAUAUCUACAAUUAGAAAAUGUGUUCAAGUAGAUACUAAGAAAUUGCUUAAUGCUGUGGAUAAAUUCAAUAAACAGUUAUAGAAAAUACUGAAAUUUAUUUUUAAAGGUGCAAACUUCAAUAAACUUUCUGAUCCAUUAGUAAGGCAAAAAAUUCUCACGUGUUACUAUAAAAAUCCACAAUUGCCACAGUUUGAAUACAGGAGAGGCACACAUUCUUUACUAUCCCUAACCCCUACUCUCAUUCACAAAGGGCUAUAAUUAGUCCCAAGCAAAAACACCUUCCAAUAUCUGCAUGGGAGCUGUAAUGUGAUUAGCUGAAGCAGGGCAGGAGAUUAGCUUCUCUGCCAGUGCAUGGUAUCUAAGGCUAUUCUGCACCUCCAAGUAAGGGGCCAAGUCUAUCAGUUUAUCAGUGUUAUGAGGCAUCCAUAGCAUUGGACUAUGUCUUCAUAUAAUAAUUCUCACCAUAAUUUGUAUUGUAGUACUGUUGUUCUUGCUGUUGCCCCAUUCAGAAACCCUGCCUUUAUCAUUAUAGUUUAUAAAUUAAUAGAAUUAUUAAUUAGGGCUUUGUUUUUUUACCUCUUUGAAAACACACUGUGAGGAAAAUGUAAAAAUUAACAAUACUGAGCACUUGUGAGAAUACUAAAUCAAAGUUAACUAUGUAGUUAAUAUUAAUAGCAUAAUAUUUGAAUUUUUAGGAUUUAAGUUUCUAGUCUUUAUUAUAUCUGGGCAUAUGUACAUAUAAACAAACUGGGAAAUCACAUGUAGAAGUUUUUCUUACUUUAACAAAGUUAGCAGUCCUAAAAAUAUAAGAUUGGGACAUGUUGGUAUUUUCCAAAGGGAUACUUUGAAACUUUUACAGAAGGUAGAUUUAGAUUCAGGUUAUCAACUGACAUAUAUAGCUUCUAUUCAGACAUAUAUAAGAGGCCCCUUUUCAUUACACACACAAGAAUUGUUGAGUGAUGAUAUGGUUUUUGUUAAUGAAGGGAUAUUCAAAGGUGACAUGAUUAGACUGUAAGCUCUAUAACCUAAGUAGUCCAUCCUAGCUUGAAUGGACUUGACUGGGCAAUAACUGUGGGCAGGUGGGGUAUGGAAGAAGGAGGUGGGUCACUGGAGAUUUGUCCUGGAAGAAUGCAUUUUCACUGUGGCUCUCUUCCUGAACUCUAACACUCUAUCUUCUUCCCAGCUGGCACGAGCUGAGCAGCUUCCUCUGUCACCACUCUUCCACCAUGAUGUUCUGCCUUAUCUUGGGCCCAAAGCAAUGGAGUUGACUGACUAUGGUCUGAAUCUCUGAAACUGCUGCCCUACCUCAACACCACCACCAGUCUAACAGCUGCGAGAACCGUGGCUCCAGGAAGAAUGGAGGCCAGAGGCAAAAGGAAGCAAUGAAGUCCCACAAAGAGGAUGAGAACUUCAGAUGUCAAAUGUGACUUUCAAUCUAUCUAGCUUAAAAGUAAACCCUCUACCUGGAUAUCCUCUUGAACCUGGUGGACCUCGAUUUCCUUUUUGGCCAGGGAUGAUGGUCCCAGGCUGACCUGGUGGCCCUGGGGGUCCUGCUAUGCCCAUGGGUCCUCGAGGCCCAACAUCUCCCAUUGUUCCCUUCCUGCCAGGGAGGCCCGGCCAACCAGGGGCUCCCCUGUCUCCUUUGGCACCUGCAAACAAGAAGACAUGGAUUUGAAGGAUCAACUAACUGAAUGGAUUCGUACCUUCCAAGUCUCAAUGAACUGUCCAUAUUCAGUUACCUGGAGGGACUGAGCUGGACCAGGAAUCCCAUCGUGUCCUUGGUUACCUCUUACACCCAUUGGUCCAGGAGGUCCUGGGAAUCCUGGAAGACCUGAAAAAAAAAAAAAGCAAAUUAAUAAACCAAAAUAAAAACCAUGGC